GUAGGACGCACAGUUUAUACCGUAGCUUGCUACACCAUAGACUGUGAGUUGCGAACGGGUGAGUAACGCGUAGGUAACCUGCCUAUUAGAGGGGGAUAACUAUUGGAAACGAUAGCUAAUACCGCAUAACAGUAUGUAACACAUGUUAGAUGCUUGAAAGAUGCAAUUGCAUCGCUAGUAGAUGGACCUGCGUUGUAUUAGCUAGUAGGUAGGGUAAAGGCCUACCUAGGCAACGAUACAUAGCCGACCUGAGAGGGUGAUCGGCCACACUGGGACUGAGACACGGCCCAGACUCCUACGGGAGGCAGCAGUAGGGAAUCUUCGGCAAUGGGGGGAACCCUGACCGAGCAACGCCGCGUGAGUGAAGAAGGUUUUCGGAUCGUAAAGCUCUGUUGUUAAGGAAGAACGAGUGUGAGAAUGGAAAGUUCAUGCUGUGACGGUACUUAACCAGAAAGGGACGGCUAACUACGUGCCAGCAGCCGCGGUAAUACGUAGGUCCCGAGCGUUGUCCGGAUUUAUUGGGCGUAAAGCGAGCGCAGGCGGUUAGAAAAGUCUGAAGUGAAAGGCAGUGGCUCAACCAUUGUAGGCUUUGGAAACUGUUUAACUUGAGUGCAGAAAGGGGAGAGUGGAAUUCCAUGUGUAGCGGUGAAAUGCGUAGAUAUAUGGAGGAACA
RNAcentral lists this ribosomal RNA (673 nucleotides) under uncultured Streptococcus sp. RNAcentral's name for it is "bacterial SSU rRNA". It matches the Rfam family "Bacterial small subunit ribosomal RNA", at positions 61 to 708 of the family's 1533-position model. Lineage: Bacteria; Bacillati; Bacillota; Bacilli; Lactobacillales; Streptococcaceae. The record is from RNAcentral.